RNAcentral lists this ribosomal RNA (442 nucleotides) under uncultured bacterium. RNAcentral's name for it is "partial 16S ribosomal RNA". It matches the Rfam family "Bacterial small subunit ribosomal RNA", at positions 338 to 795 of the family's 1533-position model. The record is from RNAcentral.
CCUACGGGUGGCAGCAGUGAGGAAUAUUGGUCAAUGGGCGAGAGCCUGACCCAGCAACGCCGCGUGAAGGAAGAAUGCUUUCGGGUUGUAAACUUCUUUUGGCAGGGAAGAGCAGAACACGGUACCUGUCGAAUAAGCCACGGCUUACUACGUGCCAGCAGCCGCCGUUAUACGGAGGUGGCAAGCGUUGUCCGGCUUUACUGGGUGUACAGGCCGUGUAGCCAGUCUGACAAGGGAGGUGGUAAAUCCGGGGGCGCAACCCCCGACUUGCAUUUGAAACUGUUGGUCUUGAGUAUCGGAGAGGCAGGCGGAAGUCCUAGUGGAGCGGUGAAAUGCGUAGAUAUUAGGAGGAACACCAGUGGCGAAGGCAGCCUGCUGGACGACAACUGACGGUGAGGCGCGAAAGCGUGGGGAGCAAACAGGAUUAGAUACCCCUGUAGUC